GGCCCCAUCGUCUAGCGGUCUAGGACGCCAGGUUUUCAUCCUGGUAACCCGGGUUCGAGUCCCGGUGGGGUCACCA
RNAcentral lists this transfer RNA (76 nucleotides) under Candidatus Dojkabacteria bacterium. Its description in RNAcentral is "tRNA-Glu". It matches the Rfam family "tRNA". From Rfam's summary of the family: Transfer RNA (tRNA) molecules are approximately 80 nucleotides in length. Their secondary structure includes four short double-helical elements and three loops (D, anti-codon, and T loops). The record is from RNAcentral.